RNAcentral lists this long non-coding RNA (666 nucleotides) under Numida meleagris (helmeted guineafowl). Its description in RNAcentral is "lncRNA (ENSNMEG00000021167.1)". Lineage: Eukaryota; Metazoa; Chordata; Aves; Galliformes; Numididae. The record is from RNAcentral.
GCAGAAGAAGCCCAUGGAAGGAGAGAGAGAUCUGAUGAAAUUCCAGCGCUACUGAAGUGGAUAGAAAUUUUGCCAUCGAUUGUUCAACAAGGGACUCUUCCCUGCAGACUUCUCUCAGAUGGAUCAGGAUACAAAGUGCUGAAUUCCUCCCAGACCUUUGGGUCCCAUUGGGAUCUCCUCUCUGCUGGUCUACGUAUUCCACAUUUGAGGUUUCCUUCCAGGCAGUUUUCAGCAUCCUCUGUAGAGCUGCACCCCUGGCUUAUUGGUAGGCAUUUCUCUUGCAGCCUUCACUGGAUAUCUGACUUCCUCACAAACAUAAACAAUCAUUUCACAAUAACCCUGUUAGAAAAGGAAGACUUAUCACUUUUACUUAGAUUACAAACACAGGGGCUUUCAUAGUGACCACAAACAUGCAGCUGCCGAAGACUGAUUGACUUUCCCGUGGGGAAUACAUUGUGUUCUUGUCUGGAAGAGAUGAAUCUUUCCCGAGCGGGUGGAGGUUCCUCCGCUGACGUAGGGUGCAGCAGAAGCUAUUGGGGUCCAUCUCUGGAGAAGUGCAGUCACUAAUUUCAGUGACUGUUGAGAAGGGAUAUUUCCUCGUUUUGGCUGGUGAGUGUGCAGGGUUAGUUUAAUAAAUUACAAUGAUUUUCUUUUUAAUUAAAAGAA